This 1458-nucleotide long non-coding RNA is filed under the name Mus musculus (house mouse). RNAcentral's name for it is "long non-coding RNA chr17:26444855-26446313". Lineage: Eukaryota; Metazoa; Chordata; Mammalia; Rodentia; Muridae. The record is from RNAcentral.
GGAGAGGGACUUUAGGCUGCCCCUUUCUGGGACCUUGCGGCCACCCUUCUCGAGGAGCACCCCAGCCAUUUUCCAAGCUUACUGCCCAUUUGUGCCCUGUGAACUUCAAAAGCCAAGAUUAGGAUGGGGAGGCCAGGGCCUCCCCCUAUACAUAGCAGCCAUAUCCCUGCCCCCUGGGAAUUUCUGGAAAAUAGUUGUUUCCCAGGCUAAGCAGGCUCCUCCUCUUACUGGUUGGCCCUCUUGGGCAGCUGUCCUGUGCAGGCUGCGACACACAUUUUCACUUGUUCAGCAUCCACUUACCAGCAUGGCUCAUGGUCAGAACAUGAGGUUGAAGACUGGGACAAAAGGCAAGGCCUGUGGGCAGCUCUCAGGCAAGAGAUCAUAAACUGAUUUGAUCACUCUGGAGUUGGGGCUUGUGCUAGCACAUAGUAGGUGCUCAGUAAAAGACUGCAGAUCAGAUCAGGAGCCAGGUUAGGAGUGGUCAGGGGGUUGGUGAAAUAGCAUCCAUUAUAUAUAUAUGGACACAAAGUCACUCAACAAACAUUUGCUGAGUGCCCUCAGGAUGCCAGCUGCUAUAAGGGGCAACAGAGAGCAAGCACCCAGCCCUGAUGCCUGAGUGGUACCUUCAGCAGGGCAAGACAGGGUGGAGCAUGUGGGCUUUCUUGACCAUUCUAUUGCCUUGGAUCCAUCUAAAUAGAUGCCCACAAUACUUUCUGCACCUACCUUAGGGGUGUUCUUUAUGGUGAGUGAGCCCUUGCCAAACAGCCAAGAUCCCACCAGUUAAUGACCACCCACAGGGAGUCUCUGGGCAGAAAACUCCCUGCCACUUCCAGGCACUGGAACGGGGAUGCACAAGAGCCCUGAAUUCCAGCUUCGAAUGGCAUUGUGCAGCCUUGGAACAUGGGAAGCGGUAACUGCUCACUGCUCUGUCCAUCCUGCCCUGCUGGGGACAUGGCUCGGGGACACUGGGCCUCCCAGCGUUCCUUAAUAUUUUAGUGUCUCACUGUUUCACCCAAGUCCCUAACAGAACUAUCCAUAUGACAAUCUGUCUGUGCCUUAUGGAAGUGUGUGUGUGUGUGUGUGUGUGUGUGUGUGUGUGUGCACUUUUUAUCCUUUAAAAUGCAACCCUUCAACGUGGACAAGAAGCUAGCAGAUGCGGUUGGGCUCCAGAUGCCAGCAAGGAGUCCCUGAGACCCUCUUGCAGUUUGCAGGUGGAAUGAUAGUGUUCACCCCCACCCAUCCCCGCUACCUGUGUACAGACCCUUUGAAACAUGUCUGUCCUUUAUGAUUCAAUACUGUGACUCUCCUAUACCGUCUAGUCUUUGGGGAACUGUACUAAAGGCCUGAGAACUUGGGGAGGGGGGUGAGUGGGAAGGGUUUGCGCUAGUCUUUGUGUGUUGUGUGUUCUGAUAUUUGUCUGUUUUUAUCUGUUUUAUAUUAACAUAAAUUUCCUGUUUG